This 106-nucleotide ribosomal RNA is filed under the name uncultured bacterium. RNAcentral's name for it is "partial 16S ribosomal RNA". It matches the Rfam family "Bacterial small subunit ribosomal RNA", at positions 1365 to 1482 of the family's 1533-position model. The record is from RNAcentral.
AAUACGUUCCCGGACCUUGUACACACCGCCCGUCACAUCAUGAAAGCCGGUUGUACCCGAAGCCGCCCCUUAAAAGGUGUCGAAGGUAUGGCUGGUGAUUGGGAUG